Molecule: long non-coding RNA, 1334 nt
Organism: Setaria italica (foxtail millet)
Lineage: Eukaryota; Viridiplantae; Streptophyta; Magnoliopsida; Poales; Poaceae
Exons: 2
Source: RefSeq, a predicted model, not a curated record
CAGCCGGCCUCGACGCUGGGGUCGAGCUGCCCGCGCCGGACGCUAGCCGCCUCCGCUGCCGGGGCUCCUCCGCGGGGGCGCGUCGGAGAGGUGGGAGAGAAGACAGAGAGGAGAUAGGGCUGGGAGAGAGAGGAGAGGUGGAAGAGAAGAGAGAGAAGGAGGAGAUAAGGUUGGCUGGUUGAGCGCCUCGCCUCCUCCCCACGGCUGCGCCUCCCCCCGUCCCCCGUCCGCCACCUCCGUGCGCAGACAGACUGAGCCACGUCCAAACGCCGUCGCAGACCCUGACUGGCGCGAACCCUGCCCGACCUUCCCUCCACGCCAGCGCAAUAGGAUGACUCUGCUGUGCCGGCCGCGCCGCCACUGCCGCCGCUGCGGACGACGGAUCCAUAGAGGAGCCAUAUGCGCCCACGUGCGGCCCCAAGGAGCGGUGGCGGAGGUGGGCAGCGCGCGAUCCGGCCGGCGGCGACGGUGGGCAGCGUGCGAUCUGGCCAGCGGCAGCGACCGUGGACGUCCUGGUCGACCUCCCAAUCCACUCUUUGCAGACCUGCACUCGAGCCGAGCCAUCGCCAAUGUUCGGAUCCGGGCGGCGUGAUGUGGAUCCGGUGGACGUGUGAGUGUGGGGGCGGCCAUGGCGUCCUCGCCGGUCAAGUUCUUCUUGGUGCUACUGGGAAGCUAAAGCAGCCGGCGUCGUCGUGAAGUAGCCGUCGUGGCGGGAUAGGCGCUCCCUCUCCGGCUCGUCGCAGCUUGCCCUGGACGGGAGCUUUGCAAACAGGGCAUGUGGGGAGCAGGUCGUCGCCUAGUGGCCUGCCUAAAUCUCCUCCAUCGCCGGCGAAGCCAUCGAUGGUAGUGAUGGAAGGCCCGCCCAGGCACCGGCGGUCAUCUGCCCCGCAUCGAUCUGGCCACGCUCGCCGCGCAUGAGGAUAUCCGCUACACCACCAUGGAGCUCGCUAAGGCAUCAGUGCCAGCAGGGAAGCAGGACGCCGUCGCCUGUGUUUGCUGCUCUAUGCUUGCCACCUAUCGAAACAGCCACGCUCACCACGACGAGGCAAUUUUGCUGCCUGUCAAUCUGAUCAUUCUCGAGACACCCAAGAGCCCAAUAACGGUUGCGCCAUCAUCGUCGUCGUACAUCUUGACGCCACUCCCAUCAUAGGUCGCCUUCUACCACGGCAAUGGGAUUCAGAAUGACGGUACGCCACUCAGAGCUGUGCCCGCCCCCGCUUCCCUCGGAACACACGAGUUCUAUGUAUGGGUCCCAUGUAAUAAACAGAUGACAUCAAACCACCCACAAUUGUCUUCUACUAAUAUAUUUGUAAAGAGAGGACUAUUAGGGACAA